GCCCCAGUAACGGCGAAGUGAAGCGGCAACAGCUCAAAUUUGAAAUCUGGCCUCGUGCCCGAGUUGUAAUUUGUAGAGGAUGCUUUUGGCGACGCGCCUUCCGAGUUCCCUGGAACGGGACGCCAUAGAGGGUGAGAGCCCCGUCCGGUCGUGCGCCUAGCCUCUGUAAAGCUCCUUCGACGAGUCGAGUAGUUUGGGAAUGCUGCUCUAAAUGGGAGGUAUACGUCUUCUAAAGCUAAAUACCGGCCAGAGACCGAUAGCGCACAAGUAGAGUGAUCGAAAGAUGAAAAGCACUUUGAAAAGAGGGUUAAAUAGUACGUGAAAUUGCUGAAAGGGAAGCGCUUAUGACCAGACUUGGGCGCGGCGGAUCAUCCGGCGUUCUCGCCGGUGCACUCCACCGCCCCAGGCCAGCAUCAGUUCGCGCCGGGGGAUAAAGGCUUCGGGAAUGUGGCUCUCUCGGGAGUGUUAUAGCCCGCUGCGUAAUACCCUGGUGCGGACUGAGGUCCGCGCUCUGCAAGGAUGCUGGCGUAAUGGUCAUCAGUGACCCGUCUUGAAACACGGACCAAGGAGUCGUCUUCGUAUGCGAGUGUUCGGGUGUCAAACCCCUACGCGGAAUGAAAGUGAACGUAGGAGAGAGCUUCGGCGCAUCUCCGACCGAUCCUGAUGUUCUCGGAUGGAUUUGAGUAAGAGCAUACGGGGCCGGACCCGAAAGAAGGUGAACUAUGCCUGUGUAGGGUGAAGCCAGAGGAAACUCUGGUGGAGGCUCGCAGCGGUUCUGACGUGCAAAUCGAUCGUCAAACAUGGGCAUGGGGGCGAAAGACUAAUCGAACCUUCUAGUAGCUGGUUUCCGCCGAAGUUUCCCUCAGGAUAGCAGUGUUGAACUCAGUUUUAUGAGGUAAAGCGAAUGAUUAGGGACCCGGGGGCGCUAUAUUGCCUUCAUCCAUUCUCAAACUUUAAAUAUGUAAGAAGCUCUUGUUGCUUAGUUGAACGUGAGCAUUCGAAUGUAUCAACACUAGUGGGCCAUUUUUGGUAAGCAGAACUGGCGAUGCGGGAUGAACCGAACGCGAGGUUAAGGUGCCAGAGUAGACGCUCAUCAGACACCACAAAAGGUGUUAGUACAUCUUGACAGCAGGACGGUGGCCAUGGAAGUCGGAAUCCGCUAAGGACUGUGUAACAACUCACCUGCCGAAUGUACUAGCCCUGAAAAUGGAUGGCGCUCAAGCGUCUCACCCAUACCUCGCCCUCAGGGUAGAAACGAUGCCCUGAGGAGUAGGCG
Molecule: ribosomal RNA, 1276 nt
Filed under: Emericellopsis maritima
Lineage: Eukaryota; Fungi; Ascomycota; Sordariomycetes; Hypocreales; Bionectriaceae
Description: eukaryotic LSU rRNA
Rfam family: Eukaryotic large subunit ribosomal RNA
Source: RNAcentral